CCUACGGGUGGCUGCAGUGGGGAAUAUUGCACAAUGGACGAAAGUCUGACGGAGCAACGCCGCGUGAGCGAAGAAGGCCUUCGGGUCGUAAAGCUCUGUUGUUAGGGAAGAACAAGUAACGCAGUAACUGGCGUUACCGUGACGGUACCUAACGAGAAAGCCACGGCUAACUACGUGCCAGCAGCCGCGGUAAUACGUAGGUGGCAAGCGUUGUCCGGAAUUAUUGGGCGUAAAGCGCGCGCAGGCGGUUCCUUAAGUCUGAUGUGAAAGCCCACGGCUCAACCGUGGAGGGUCAUUGGAAACUGGGGGGCUUGAGUGCAGAAGAGGAGAGCGGAAUUCCACGUGUAGCGGUGAAAUGCGUAGAGAUGUGGAGGAACACCAGUGGCGAAGGCGGCUCUCUGGUCUGUAACUGACGCUGAGGCGCGAAAGCGUGGGGAGCAAACAGGAUUAGAUACCCGAGUAGUC
RNAcentral lists this ribosomal RNA (465 nucleotides) under uncultured bacterium. RNAcentral describes it as "bacterial SSU rRNA". It matches the Rfam family "Bacterial small subunit ribosomal RNA", at positions 338 to 795 of the family's 1533-position model. The record is from RNAcentral.